This 65-nucleotide ribosomal RNA is filed under the name uncultured bacterium. RNAcentral describes it as "partial 16S ribosomal RNA". The record is from RNAcentral.
UAGGCUUGACAUCCCAAGGCAUCCUUUAGAGAUAGAGGAGUGCUAGUUUACUAGAGCUUGGAGAC